AGCAGACAAAAUGCGCGUUUUAUUAAAUUAUUACAGACGGAAAAUCCGUCUGUAAUUUAAAUGAAAUCCGUCAAAAAUAUUAAAAACCCUAGUUGAAGAUUAACCCAUUCACUCGCCAUUCACGCCAUUCACUCCAUUCACUCGCCAUUCACUCCGCCCUGCACCUCGCCGCCCACAGCCACCGCACUCUUUGCCGCCACUACAGCCACGCAGCUCCCGCAUCAGCCCUCGCAGCUCCCCGCAACCCCCACAGCCUCGCAGCCCCUCAACGGCGCAGCCACCGCAGCCCCUACACAGACACAGCCUCCACCGCCACUGUAGAAGAUCCGUCGCCGACGGAUUCUGAGCUUCUUUUCGUUCCAGAUCAGCGCUUUCUUUGUCAGAUUCCCUUCGCGCAGCUGGAUUCCAGCUGCACAGAUUUCAUUAUCAUCAAUCUGAAAAACUGAAAAACUGUGGAGUGUGCUAUGGAAGAUAUUAGAAAAGACCGAAUCAAUGGGGGUUGAGGUAAAAGGUCCCGACCCCAAACGCGGUUACUUCCAUGAGAUGAUGUGAUUUUUCUUCGUUUACUCUAUUUUUUAAUCCAAGUCAAGCAAGAUCAUACCGGCAAACGUGUUUUCAACUUUUUCCUUCCAUGAAAUGAACGAAUUCAUCGUUUUGCUGAACGUGGACUCACAUCCUUGUUGAUCUGGAAUUCCCUCUCUCAACUUCAUCCCUAAUCUCUUCCAUGCUUGGUUCAAUGGCCCAACAAAUCCCCAAUCCUACUGCUCAAGACCCCAAUGAUGUAUUUUUCAUAGAAUGUGCUGAUUCUUCUCUUUUGGAUGCCUUUCCUACGGUGAUGGGUUGACAUAGUCACAAGUUGUUUCUGAUGUUGUUGAUCCAUCUUUUGAGCCACUAAUAUUAGUAGAAGAUUCCACUAUAUAGCUUGUAAGAUCAACCAUCCGGUUCUCGAGGUUGUCUUCUGCACUUGUUGAAGCUGUUAACUCUCCCUCACUUGGAAGGUUCCUCGGCUGUAAGUGUCCAUUUUCUUCAAUUGGAUGAAUCCUUUUUAAAUAAUUUGGUGAUGUUGUGUCUUUGUCCCUCUGGUCCUUGCCACCACUGGAAUAGAGAGAGUAGUUGAUUGAAAAUAAGUCAUUAAUUGAAUGAAGUCAUUAAUUGAAAUGAAUUUGAAAAUGAUAAGAGAAACAAGUAGAAGUAGUUGAUUGAAAAGACAACUAGAAGAUUAAUUUGUCUGAGAGAAGAGGACAGCGUGGUGUUGUAGGUGGCGGUCUCUCCUUUCAUUUCUCAGUUGGGGAACUUUUGUUGUCGCUUAUUCCUUUCUUGUACCUGUAACGUGGUGGUCCAUUAGGAAAUAUACAUGCCAUUUUUAUUUGAAUUCAGAAAAUUGUGUGUCGCAUGAGGUGUUAUUGUUGAGUCGUCAAAUUAUUAUUUGAUUGAUUUAAGAAUUAUAAAAAAAAUAUUCCAUUCUUGGCCGUUUCAAUUGUUAGUCUAAUAAUAUAUUGAAGCAUCUUGCCAACAAUGAAUGAUAAAAUAUCAUUAUUCAAUGUAAUCAUUCAAUUAUAUUAUUAAAAAGCAUCUAUUAUCAUGCAACGACAUGCUGGAUACAAUAUAUAGAGGAAAACUUUAUUGUUUUAGCUUUUUUUAUUAAAUUCUGUUUUUACAAUAUAUUUGGAGUUUCAUUUAUUCAAUGAUCAAUUUUUAUAUGGCUUGAUUUCUUGUUUCAAUUACAUUAACGUAGAACUGAAUAAAAGUUUCCAGGUAUAGGCAUGCUUUGAAUAUUCAAUUCAUUGGAUCUAGAAUUGCAGUUGUUUGGAAGCAAUUAUUAAAUAACUGGACACUUGGAUUACAUUGUUUAUUUUCGGAAUUCCUUCUAUAAUUUAUAAAUGACGAGAAUGGUAUAAUGCCAGUACACUUGAUUGUUCUUUUUCACCAUUGAAGUGUUUCUGCCAGUAUCCAGGUCCUUGGCAGGUGAUGCUUAAGCAAGCAGAUAGUUCUUACGCUUGCAUAGCAGAAAGCGCAACCCGCUUCACCCUUGGUGAAGCCAAAGAAGAGUUGUUGAGAGUCUUGGGACUUCAAGAAGGGGAGGAAAGCUCUCUAGAAUUUCUUCGAAGAGGCUACAAGUUGGCUGUUCGCAAGUGCCCUGAAUGUAGACAGCCACUACCCGAAAGCUAUUCGCCUCCGGCAGAUGAACCUUGGACGACUGGGAUCUUUGGAUGCACUGAAGAUAGGGAAAGUUGCAAGAAGUGUAGCCCUUUUCUAAUUGCAUUAAGAGAUAUAAAACAACACGAUAUUACUCAAAGUAUGCAUGGGCUACUGGUUGAUUGGUUUGUAGAGAUUUGCAUAAUGUAAUGUUUCUCAUAUAAUACAAUGUUAUGAAUUAUAGCUGAUAAAUUUAGUACGGUUGAACAAUACAUUGAGGAUUAUAGUUGAUGUAUCAAUACAUUUUGUUUAUAUUUUGAAUUA
Molecule: RNA transcript, 2460 nt
Organism: Arachis stenosperma
Lineage: Eukaryota; Viridiplantae; Streptophyta; Magnoliopsida; Fabales; Fabaceae
Exons: 8
Source: RefSeq, a predicted model, not a curated record